AACUUCUGAAAUAUAUAAAUUGCAGAAGUGGGAACAACACUGUAACCAUGAUGAUAUAAGUUGUAUUGUAAGUUCAGAGUAAAGGGAUGGGACUAAUAAGUUUAUACUUCUUCCCAUUCCUUUUUGAAUAUAGCCUGUAUAUGCUUUGUA
Thalassophryne amazonica is the source of this 150-nucleotide long non-coding RNA. RefSeq lists it as uncharacterized. The transcript is spliced from 3 exons. The record is from RefSeq and is a predicted model, not a curated record. Lineage: Eukaryota; Metazoa; Chordata; Actinopteri; Batrachoidiformes; Batrachoididae.